GCGCCCAUAGCCCAAUUGGAUAGAGCGUCUGGCUACGGACCAGAAGGUUGGGGGUUCGAAUCCUCCUGGGCGUA
RNAcentral lists this transfer RNA (74 nucleotides) under bacterium. RNAcentral's name for it is "tRNA-Arg". It matches the Rfam family "tRNA". Rfam says of the family: Transfer RNA (tRNA) molecules are approximately 80 nucleotides in length. Their secondary structure includes four short double-helical elements and three loops (D, anti-codon, and T loops). Further hydrogen bonds mediate the characteristic L-shaped molecular structure. tRNAs have two regions of fundamental functional importance: the anti-codon, which is responsible for specific mRNA codon recognition, and the 3' end, to which the tRNAs corresponding amino acid is attached (by aminoacyl-tRNA synthetases). tRNAs cope with the degeneracy of the genetic code in two manners: having more than one tRNA (with a specific anti-codon) for a particular amino acid; and 'wobble' base-pairing, i.e. permitting non-standard base-pairing at the 3rd anti-codon position. The record is from RNAcentral.